CUUUAUUAAGAUUUGUGCAUGAUACAUAAAAGACAAAACCCUCUCUCUCUUUCUCUUUAAAAAGGCAUGCAGUGGGUCACAUGGAUGGAGAUGGAUCAUGUGAUGCAACAACAUACAUUGCCCACUUCUACUGGAAACUAUUCUUAGCAGUGAUGCAGGGUAUUUUAGAGGCUUCCUAACUACACAUUGACCACCAAACAGUAUCAAAAAAUUCAAGAUUCAAAAGCAUGCUUACAGGACUUAAUUUCAACACAUACAUUUUCAAAGUAAUAAAAGUGAGAAAGAAGAGAAGAAUGUGGAAAGAAAGAAAGAAAGUAGAAAGAGAGUGAUAUGAAUGUGACCUCUCCAACAAUGGAAUCUAGAGCUAGAAGGUUGUGCACAAGAUCAUUUUCUUCCUUCUCUCAUGCAUAUGUGAUUAGAGGCAGCAGCAUUGAAAAUUGAAAUAUAUGUACAUACCUUAUCUAGUCAAAUGACAGAAGAUUCACUCAUAAUAAUUGUGCAGUGUAUAUAUAAAUACAUUAUUCCAUGAUUGAUGAGUAGAAGGAGCUACUUCUGUAUGUGUAGGUCACGGGUGUGCUUUGGAUUGUACAAAAAUGAAUAAAGGUCAGAAU
This 611-nucleotide small RNA is filed under the name Vigna angularis var. angularis. RNAcentral's name for it is "Non-protein coding transcript". The record is from RNAcentral. Lineage: Eukaryota; Viridiplantae; Streptophyta; Magnoliopsida; Fabales; Fabaceae.